This 207-nucleotide ribosomal RNA is filed under the name uncultured bacterium. RNAcentral describes it as "partial 16S ribosomal RNA". It matches the Rfam family "Bacterial small subunit ribosomal RNA", at positions 568 to 774 of the family's 1533-position model. The record is from RNAcentral.
CGCGUAGGUGGUUUGAUCAGUCGGAUGUGAAAGCCCCGGGCUCAACCUGGGAACUGCAUUCGAUACUGUCGAACUAGAGUAUGGUAGAGGGAAGGGGAAUUCCAGGUGUAGCGGUGAAAUGCGUAGAUAUCUGGAGGAACAUCAGUGGCGAAGGCGCCUUCCUGGACUAAUACUGACACUGAGGUGCGAAAGCGUGGGUAGCAAACA